This 506-nucleotide ribosomal RNA is filed under the name uncultured bacterium. RNAcentral describes it as "bacterial SSU rRNA". It matches the Rfam family "Bacterial small subunit ribosomal RNA", at positions 28 to 508 of the family's 1533-position model. The record is from RNAcentral.
GAUGAACGCUGGCGGCGUGCUUAACACAUGCAAGUCGAACGAAGCUGUUGUUUGGAGACCUUCGGGUGGAAGAAUGACAGACUGAGUGGCGGACGGGUGAGUAACGCGUGGGUAACCUACCUUGCACAGGGGGACGACAGUUGGAAACGACUGCUAAUACCGCAUAAGACCACAGUACCGCAUGGUACAGGGGUAAAAACUGAGGUGGUGCAAGAUGGACCCGCGUCUGAUUAGCUAGUUGGUGGGGUAAAGGCCUACCAAGGCGAUGAUCAGUAGCCGGUCUGAGAGGAUGAACGGCCACAUUGGGACUGAGACACGGCCCAGACUCCUACGGGAGGCAGCAGUGGGGAAUCUUCCGCAAUGGACGAAAGUCUGACGGAGCAACGCCGCGUGAGUGAUGACGGCCUUCGGGUUGUAAAGCUCUGUUAAUCGGGACGAAAGGCCUUCUUGCGAAUAGUGAGAAGGAUUGACGGUACCGGAAUAGAAAGCCACGGCUAACUACGUGC